RNAcentral lists this ribosomal RNA (957 nucleotides) under Paenibacillus sp. 1Lpecto97a. RNAcentral describes it as "bacterial SSU rRNA". It matches the Rfam family "Bacterial small subunit ribosomal RNA", at positions 1 to 887 of the family's 1533-position model. The record is from RNAcentral. Lineage: Bacteria; Bacillati; Bacillota; Bacilli; Caryophanales; Paenibacillaceae.
UAGUAAUGUAGGGUGGCGGUGUGCGUAAAUACAGCGGAGACAGACAUGAGGUUUGAUCUGGGCUCAAGACGAACGCUGGCAGACAUGCCUUAAACAUACAAGUCGAGCGAAAUUGAUAGGAAACUUGCCUCUAUGAUGAUUAGCGGCGGACGGGUGAGGUACACGUAGGCAACCUGCCCUCAAAGGUUUGGACAACUACACGGGAAACAGUAGCUAAUACCGAAUAGAUUGUUUUCUUCGCCUGAAGAGAAACUGGAAAGAACGGAGCAAUCUGUCACUAAGAGGAUGGGCCUGCGACGCAUUAGCUAGUUGUGAGGUAACGGCUCACCAAGGCGACGAUGCGUAGCCGACCUGAGAGGGUGAUCGGCCACACUGGGACUGAGACACGGCCCAGACUCCUACGGGAGGCAGCAGUAGGGAAUCUUCCGCAAUGGGCGAAAAGCCUGACGGAGCAAUGCCGCGUGAGUGAUGAAGGUUUUCGGAUCGUAAAGCUCUGUUGCCAGGGAAGAACGCUUGGGAGAGUAACUGCUCUCAAGGUGACGGUACCUGAGAAGAAAGCCCCGGCUAACUACGUGCCAGCAGCCGCGGUAAUACGUAGGGGGCAAGCGUUGUCCGGAAUUAUUGGGCGUAAAGCGCGCGCAGGCGGUCAUUUAAGUCUGGUGUUUAAUCCCGGGGCUCAACCCCGGAUCGCACUGGAAACUGGGUGACUUGAGUGCAGAAGAGGAGAGUGGAAUUCCACGUGUAGCGGUGAAAUGCGUAGAUAUGUGGAGGAACACCAGUGGCGAAGGCGACUCUCUGGGCUGUAACUGACGCUGAGGCGCGAAAGCGUGGGGAGCAAACAGGAUUAGAUACCCUGGUAGUCCACGCCGUAAACGAUGAGUCUCUUAAAUGUUAGGGGUUUCGAUACCCUUGGUGCCGAAGUUAACACAUUAAGCACUCCGCCUUGGGAAAAACCCU